CUGUAUGUAUGUGUCUGUGUGUGUCUCUGUAUGUAUGUGUCUGUAUGAUACAGACACAUACAUACAGAGACACACACACAGACAC
This is a non-coding RNA of Pelobates cultripes (western spadefoot toad), 85 nucleotides long. Lineage: Eukaryota; Metazoa; Chordata; Amphibia; Anura; Pelobatidae. The record is from the annotation of a GenBank genome assembly.